UGGCUGUCCCUGGAGCAGUGGGAGCUGCCGCUGGCCCCAGGCACUGUCCUGUGAGGAGCUGCUGAAGGACGCUGAGACUGAGGGGGCUGAGGAGGCGCUGAUGCUGAAGGGACCUUGCAAACCUUGAGCUGUGCUGAAGAGCUUGAGGAGAGCCAGACACUGAGAGGAGCCAGCAGGGAGAAGCUGAAGGCCUGGAGCAAGAGCAGUGAGCAGGGAUGUGCUGGAGCCACGCGAGAGCCUGGAUGUCCCAUCUGCUGUCCCUGUCCAGGAGAGCUGCUCUGCAUGGGAGGAAAAGACUGAGGGAGAGGCUUUGAAGAUGGGGGGGCUGAUUUGUUCUUAUGCAGUUGUAUGGAUAUUGAGAUUGAGACAGUGUCAUUUGUAUAUUUUCAAAUAGUUUUGUUUUAUAUAUCUAUGUGUAUAUAUAUUUUAUGAAAUAUGUAAUAGUUAAUCUGUAUUUCCAUCUGGAGAUGGUUAUAGAUGUAUCUGUAGAGGUAUUUAAUUCUAUUUAAACAUGUAUGAAAUGGUAUAGUUGUAUAAUUCUAUCGAUCAAAUUCUUAGUACAGGGUUAUUUAGAGGGGGACACUGAUAAUUUUGUAUUUCUAUAUGGGCUGUAAGCUUGUUGUAAUCUGUAAUAAAUUAAGUUGUUAAACACCUCAUUAAUCGUUGCCUAUAGUGACUUGUAGAGGUUAGCAAUAAGUGAAGUUUUUGCUAACUGAAUUGGUAUUUGUAUAUUUUUACGUGGCAUUGUUGUGCUAAUAUAAUAAAUGACUUUUUUUCAACUUAAUGGAGAUUUUGAUAGUUGUGUAUUGUCAGUGCAGGUGUAGCAAUUUGUAAUAAAUGACAUUUUUCAACUGAAA
Non-coding RNA from Cyanistes caeruleus (blue tit), 857 nucleotides. The record is from RefSeq and is a predicted model, not a curated record. NCBI's taxonomy places the organism in Eukaryota, Metazoa, Chordata, Aves, Passeriformes, Paridae.